UACGUAGGGUGCAAGCGUUGUCCGGAAUUAUUGGGCGUAAAGAGCUCGUAGGCGGUCUGUCGCGUCGGAUGUGAAAACCCAGGGCUCAACCCUGGGCCUGCAUUCGAUACGGGCAGACUAGAGUUCGGUAGGGGAGACUGGAAUUCCUGGUGUAGCGGUGAAAUGCGUAGAUAUUGGGAAGAACACCUGAGGCGAAGGCGGGAUGCUGGGCCGACACUGACGCUGAGGCGCGAAAGCCAGGGGAGCAAACGGG
RNAcentral lists this ribosomal RNA (253 nucleotides) under uncultured bacterium. Its description in RNAcentral is "partial 16S ribosomal RNA". It matches the Rfam family "Bacterial small subunit ribosomal RNA", at positions 524 to 776 of the family's 1533-position model. The record is from RNAcentral.